Molecule: ribosomal RNA, 253 nt
Filed under: uncultured bacterium
Lineage: Bacteria
Description: partial 16S ribosomal RNA
Rfam family: Bacterial small subunit ribosomal RNA
Source: RNAcentral
UACGUAAGGUGCAAGCGUUGUCCGGAAUUAUUGGGCGUAAAGAGCUCGUAGGCGGUUUGUCGCGUCUGCUGUGAAAGUUCGGGGCUCAACCCCGGAACUGCAGUGGGUACGGGCAGACUAGAGUGCGGUAGAGGAGACUGGAAUUCCUGGUGUAGCGGUGGAAUGCGCAGAUAUCAGGAGGAACACCAGUGGCGAAGGCGGGUCUCUGGGCCACAACUGACGCUGAGGCACGAAAGCGUGGGGAGCGAACAGG